GAUGAACGCUGGCGGCGUGCCUAAUACAUGCAAGUAGAACGCUGAAGGAAGGAGCUUGCUCUUUCCGGAUGAGUUGCGAACGGGUGAGUAACGCGUAGGUAACCUGCCUGGUAGCGGGGGAUAACUAUUGGAAACGAUAGCUAAUACCGCAUAACAGUAGAUGUUGCAUGAUAUCUACUUAAAAGGUGCAAUUGCACCACUACCAGAUGGACCUGCGCUGUAUUAGCUAGUUGGUGAGGUAACGGCUCACCAAGGCGACGAUACAUAGCCGACCUGUGAGGGUGAUCGGCCACACUGGGACUGAGACACGGCCCAGACUCCUACGGGAGGCAGCAGUAGGGAAUCUUCGGCAAUGGACGGAAGUCUGACCGAGCAACGCCGCGUGAGUGAAGAAGGUUUUCGGAUCGUAAAGCUCUGUUGUAAGAGAAGAACGAGUGUGAGAGUGGAAAGUUCACACUGUGACGGUAUCUUACCAGAAAGGGACGGCUAACUACGUG
This 497-nucleotide ribosomal RNA is filed under the name uncultured bacterium. RNAcentral describes it as "partial 16S ribosomal RNA". It matches the Rfam family "Bacterial small subunit ribosomal RNA", at positions 28 to 507 of the family's 1533-position model. The record is from RNAcentral.